Molecule: ribosomal RNA, 468 nt
Filed under: uncultured bacterium
Lineage: Bacteria
Description: partial 16S ribosomal RNA
Rfam family: Bacterial small subunit ribosomal RNA
Source: RNAcentral
GACGAACGCUGGCGGCGUGCUUAACACAUGCAAGUCGAACGGAAAGGCCCUGCUUUUGUGGGGUGCUCGAGUGGCGAACGGGUGAGUAACGCGUGAGUAACCUGCCCUUGACUUUGGGAUAACUUCAGGAAACUGGGGCUAAUACCGGAUAGGAGCUCCUGCUGCAUGGUGGGGGUUGGAAAGUUUCGGCGGUUGGGGAUGGACUCGCGGCUUAUCAGCUUGUUGGUGGGGUAGUGGCUUACCAAGGCUUUGACGGGUAGCCGGCCUGAGAGGGUGACCGGCCAUAUUGGGACUGAGAUACGGCCCAGACUCCUACGGGAGGCAGCAGUGGGGAAUAUUGCACAAUGGGCGGAAGCCUGAUGCAGCAACGCCGCGUGCGGGAUGACGGCCUUCGGGUUGUAAACCGCUUUCGCCUGUGACGAAGCGUGAGUGACGGUAAUGGGUAAAGAAGCACCGGCUAACUACGUG